Molecule: microRNA precursor, 103 nt
Filed under: Marmota monax (woodchuck)
Lineage: Eukaryota; Metazoa; Chordata; Mammalia; Rodentia; Sciuridae
Source: RNAcentral
AGUGUGAUUGCUGGGUUAUAUGGUAAGAGUAUAUUUCGUUUUGUAAGAAACUGAUAAACUAUCUUCCAAAGUGGAUAUACUAUUUUGCAUUCUCACUAGCAAU